GUUGGGCGAGGUGUCGCACGCCUGUAAUCCCAGCUGCUUAGGAGGCUGAGACAGGAGGAUUGCAAGUUAAAAGUCAGCCUCAGCAAAAGCAAAGCACUAAGCAACUCAGUGAGACCCUGUCUCUA
Molecule: small RNA, 125 nt
Filed under: Marmota monax (woodchuck)
Lineage: Eukaryota; Metazoa; Chordata; Mammalia; Rodentia; Sciuridae
Source: RNAcentral